UUUAAAGGAAUUGAUCUUGAGAAAGACCUCCCCGUUCUUUUAACGCAUGCGCGCUCUUAUAGUUUUUUCACUGACCCCCACUCCAUUCAUGAAUUAAGUCAGUGGCGCGCGUAUGGUGACAAACUUUGGGAUCUUGUCUUAGAUGACGAUAAGCCAGCUAAAAAGAUUUCUAAACUAUGGAGAGUUGUCCACAAUGAACUUUUAAUGGUACAGGCAGAGAAAAAAGCGGCAGAAAAAAUUAAGGUUGCUCAGGAUCGGAACCGUCAUUACAGCAAUCACAGUGCCUCUGUUUUCUCUGGCCCACCUAAUCCCCCCACCUUUGCUGCGGUUCAUGUACCGCCUGAGGCUCUUGCCUCUGAGUCGCCUUCCGCGCCUCCCCUCCCCCCACCUCCUACUCCUCCUACGCCUUCCUUGCCGCAGCCUGCUCCGCCGCAGCCCUGCCCGCUGCCCGAGCCGGCCCGAGAGCCGCCGCAGCCUGCUCCUCCACCGCCCUUGCCUCACCCGUCUCCGCCGGACUGUUCUCGUUCGCGAAACCCCUUUGUUAGCCCUGAGCCUGUCCCUGGGGCAGAGUCUGACCUCGUGGAGGCCAUGGUUAGGGGCCAUAGAGAACUCUGGGCUGCGGUUGCUCGUGAUGGCUUACAAAAGGGUGAUUCUGACAUGCUAGCGGCUGCCCAAGACAGCAUGGCGUUCCCUGUUUUAUUUGUCCCGAAUCCGCAAGGGGGCGGCAAUGUUGCGCAGGUGACUAAUCUUGAUUGGAAGCUGCUAGCGCAGCUGCGAGCAACAGUGGGGAAUUACGGUGUCACCAGUGAACCAGUUAAACAGAUGCUUGAUUAUAUUUUUAACGCUUUUACCCUUCUUCCUGCUGACAUUAAAGGCAUUACUAAGCUCAUGUAUACCCCGCAUCAGCGACUGCUUUUUGAGGCUCGCUGGAGGGAGGAAGCCGCUGUUACUGCUGCUGCCCCCAGGCCAGCGGCAGAUCCCUUGACAGGUGUUACAGUAGCUGAGCUCAUGGGUGAAGGGGAUCACAUGAGAGUAGAAGCUCAAGCGGCACUAGGACCUGCCAAGCUACGGGAAGCUAUGGCAGUUGCUAAGAAAGCUAUGGAUAAGGUCCGAGCCCCAGGUGGGAUCCCGAUGUAUAUGAGCAUUAAACAAAGCAGAGAGGAAUCUCUAGGCUCUUUUGUUGACAAAGUUAUGGAAGCCAUUUCAAAAGCUGGGGUUCAAGAGCAUAUGCAUGACCCGUUGCUUAAACAAUGCCUUUUACAAAAUGGCAAUCAGGCCACCCGUGCCCUUAUUACUUCCACCCCAGGGGAUUGAGCAUAUGCAUGACCCGUUGCUUAAACAAUGCCUUUUACAAAAUGGCAAUCAGGCCACCCGUGCCCUUAUUACUUCCACCCCAGGGGAUUGGACUGUCCAGCAACUUUUAGAAAAAGCUGCGACCAUGCCCACUGGCUCGCAACUAUUCUUAGCACAAGCCUUAGAAAAAUUAGGUGAAGGGCUUAAAGAACAGGCUAUCAGCUCUCAAAAUCAGGUUAUGGCAGCCCUUGCUCCUCUCCAAGCGGCAGCAGCACGUCCCCGCCCAGCUCCAGGUGGCCGCAUGAAGUGUUAUCGCUGCGGGACACCCGGUCACAUUCGUCGAAUUCAUCGGAAUUUAUGGGGGCGCUACAACCUGGUCUCCCCAACCCGGCUAUGUUGCCCCAAAACUGGCCUCUUUUAAUUAUAGAUCUCAAGGACUGCUUUUUUACUAUUCCAUUGCAUCCAGAUGACACCAAGCGCUUCACCUUUACCUUACCUGCCCUGAAUAAAGGAGAACCAGCCAGGCGAUUUGAAUGGACUGUAUUGCUGCAAGGAAUGAAAAACUCACCUACUUUGUGCCAACUGUCCCCUAUGGGUUCCGGCUAAAUGGACUAAGCCUGUUGUCACUGAUGAGCAACCCACAACAGAGGAAGGUGAGAAGAGUACAGAGGAAGAUCUCACAAAUCCUGCAGGAAGUUGAGCAACGGUUUCGCGUUACCUUCCUUGUGGAAUCUGAACAGGAGAUAGAGGAUCAUCUCCUUCCACAUCUGCAGAGACACUUUUUACGCUUUUGCCGAUCUGCUUGCUUUGCAUGUAAUUGUAGUGAUCAUAAGGCGUGGGUAAGAUUGCUUUGCGGAGGUUGUAAUUUACAGUGGUGGGUCCACCAGCGACAUCUAUCAGAAGGGUUUUAGUGUCAGUCUUGCAGUUUUCACUGGCACCGUGAGACGGCUCAAGGAGCAUUAGUAUAACUCACAGGCAAAAAUAUCAUUGACAGUUUGCAAUUAGUUGAAGAUCUUGAAGAUCAUUCUAAGUCCAUCCACGCCGAAAUUAAGAAUUUGAUCGAACACUCCCAAAAGAUAAAAAAGGACUCCGGAUUUUUCGGAUUAGAAGGACUUACAGAGUGGAUGGGCCUAGAAGGAUGGAUGAAAAGUGUGAUCAAAUCUUUAAUGCUAUUGCUAAUAAUUGUUUUGCUUAGUUUACUUAUGCUUAGCUGUAUAAUGUCAUGUAUAAAAAAUUUAAUUUUGAAGUCAGUCAAUAUGACUAUGAUCAUGCAAAAAGAAAACGGGGGAAGUGUUGAGAGUCUUUCUGAAGAAUGGCUAAAAAGCAAAGGUCAUGAUGACAUAGCAGGCUUAGUAAAGAUGCAGACUUGGCAAGGACACUAAAUCCUUGAGCAAGAAGUUGUACAAAUGACAGGAUGUGAAUCCAGAUAAGUAAGCAGAAAGAAACCAUAUGGAAGAGAAAAGAUAAGACCACAGUGAUCUCAUGGAAUAGCUCCCACCAAUAAGGAGCUCAGCUUUUGCAAUAUGUAUGAGCUAAUUAGUAGUACUAUAAGUAUGUGUAGAUUAUUACAAUAAACGAGACUUGCUGACCACAAUGCCGUGAGUGCUUGUCUCCCGCGACUCCACCCAACAUAUCCCCACAUGUUGUGAUGGGAUUAUUGUGCACUGCGCACCAGUGUCAACCAAGGCAUCAUAUCUUUGUGGUUCUGAUGUA
Corvus moneduloides (New Caledonian crow) is the source of this 3006-nucleotide long non-coding RNA. NCBI's taxonomy places the organism in Eukaryota, Metazoa, Chordata, Aves, Passeriformes, Corvidae. The record is from Ensembl.